AGAAUACCAGGAAGUAAAUAACAAACCAUGUUGGAAACGUAAUAAGUAGAAAAAAUAUAUGUAUUCUUUGCGCGAUAAAUCAUGCGUUUGAUCGAUUUUUUCCAUCGAUCUUUCAACUAGCGCGAUAUAUAUUACGUUAUACAAAGUACAUUGUGGAAGUUACGUAAAGAGUAUCGUCAAAGGGAACAUUUUUGUCGCCAACUACGCGGUAACUGUGAAAAUUGUAGUCACACGGUAAACGUCCCUAAGUCCAAUUGCAAUCAUCGAUCAGUAUUUUCAAACAAUGCGUUACAUUCAAGAAAAUAUUUGGUUUAACGACUACCACUUUGGAUAGUUUAAGUUACUUUGUUUCGAAUCUUUUGUUUCGUUAGAAUCAUCAUUCUUGCGACUGGUAAGAAUUUAAAUUCGUUCACGACUUCUUUUCUUCUUCUUCUUCUUCUUCUUCUUCUCAUUCUUAUUCCGAAUUCGAAGAAUAUUCGUCUUAUUGAACGGAAGAAAUCUUUCGUACAACUGGAGUUUUUUUUUCUUUUACGUAUCAACGCGACGCUACAUUUCUUAUUCUAUAAAUUCGUUUUUUGCGUUUCGAUUUUUGCCUUUCGUAAAUAUUUAGUAAUAAGAAAGAAGCGUCGUAGAAGUGGAUGUUGAUUUUGAAAUAAAUUGUGAAAAUUUCGAUAUUUCAGAGAAGCAGGAUAUUCCGUGACUCGAAGGAAGAGAAGAAAUUUGAAAGAAAAAUGAAAAAAUAAUCGCAUUACCUAUCGAUAAAAUGGUUAGUUGUUGCCACUUAAAAUCGUAUCGGAUAUCUAACAGAGUCGUCAUCGAGGGAGAAGAAGGUGACUUUUGAAGGUCGCGAAAUCAGAGUCUAAAGAGUUAUCACGCGAUAAUGUCGUAGUCUGCUUGACCGUCCAUAAUCUGUUUUUAGUGCAGUGGUAGUAAGAAUCGCGACGACAAUCCGCGAAUCGGUCGCUCUAUUGUAUCAUUAUUAUAAGAAUUUUUCUUUCAAACAGCAGCAUCAUAAUUUUCCAAUUAUCAAAUAAUAGAGACAAUGUUUGAAACGGAAAGAAGAAAUUUAUGAAACUGGAACGAAAAUUUGCAUCGUUAUUUUUAUUAGAGAUUUUUCGUUGUUGUUCCUGACACUCAUUCUUAUCCCAUUUCAAACACGAUCAGUUAAAGAAUGUCGAAGAAGCAAUGGUUGGUCCUGUUGAUGCUGUUCUUGACAUACUUGUUACUAGGUGCUUCCAUUUUCUACCAUAUCGAGAGCCGCUUAGAGAUCGACCGUAUUGAAAAAGACAAACAUGAACGCAUCAAAAUUAACGGUGAGCAUAAUGGAGCGUGUAAUUAAACAAACAACACCCAUAGUUUGAAAUUUGUAAAAUGCAGCCCAAAAAAAUGUUCGAUUCGAUAUAUGUACGCAUGUAUUCGAUACAUAUAUAGCGAUCUACGGACAAAUCACCAUUCAAAUAUAGUAAAAUCGAUGCGAAUAUCAAUAAAUACAUAUAAUCUAUGAUCUAUUAUAA
Long non-coding RNA from Apis florea (little honeybee), 1514 nucleotides. The record is from RefSeq and is a predicted model, not a curated record. Lineage: Eukaryota; Metazoa; Arthropoda; Insecta; Hymenoptera; Apidae.